ACCUGUUGUUGCUCGCAAGGUUCAUCCCUCACAAGUACAAGAUCAAAGACUCGAAAGCUUAGGAGUGGUGGGGAGUUGACUAUGAGAUAAAGAAUCAUGCGAUCCACAUUUCCCUACAUGGUGGAGGAUACAGAGCACUCAUUCCGGAGUAUAAUCUUGUCUUGUGUUGCCACCUAUUUAUCACUUGAGCAUAUACAAUGAAUGUUUCUUAAGAUGUCAAUAUUUGCUUAUAAUAUAGUGACUUCCCAGUA
Molecule: long non-coding RNA, 251 nt
Organism: Zea mays
Lineage: Eukaryota; Viridiplantae; Streptophyta; Magnoliopsida; Poales; Poaceae
Exons: 2
Source: RefSeq, a predicted model, not a curated record